This 72-nucleotide transfer RNA is filed under the name Camelus bactrianus (Bactrian camel). It matches the Rfam family "tRNA". Rfam says of the family: Transfer RNA (tRNA) molecules are approximately 80 nucleotides in length. Their secondary structure includes four short double-helical elements and three loops (D, anti-codon, and T loops). Lineage: Eukaryota; Metazoa; Chordata; Mammalia; Artiodactyla; Camelidae. The record is from Rfam by way of RNAcentral. RNAcentral also lists the same sequence under 3 other names.
GUGGGAAUAGCUCAGUGGCAGAGCACAUGCUUAGCAUGCACAAGGUUUUGGGUUCAAUCCCCAGCACCUCCA